ACGGGAGGCAGCAGUGAGGAAUAUUGGUCAAUGGGCGAGAGCCUGAACCAGCCAAGUCGCGUGAAGGAUGAAGGUUCUAUGGAUUGUAAACUUCUUUUGUUCGAGGGUAAAGUGAGGGAUGCGUCUCUUAUUGCAAGUAUCGAACGAAUAAGCAUCGGCUAACUCCGUGCCAGCAGCCGCGGUAAUACGGAGGAUGCGAGCGUUAUCCGGAUUUAUUGGGUUUAAAGGGUGCGUAGGCGGGAUGUUAAGUCAGCGGUGAAAGCGUGUAGCUCAACUAUACCAAGCCGUUGAAACUGGCGUUCUUGAGUGUAAACGAGGUAGGCGGAAUGUGACGUGUAGCGGUGAAAUGCUUAGAUAUGUCACAGAACCCCGAUUGCGAAGGCAGCUGACUAAUCCGCAACUGACGCUCAGGCACGAAAGCGUGGGGAUCGAACAGGAUUAGAUACCCUGGUA
Molecule: ribosomal RNA, 453 nt
Filed under: uncultured Porphyromonadaceae bacterium
Lineage: Bacteria; Pseudomonadati; Bacteroidota; Bacteroidia; Bacteroidales; Porphyromonadaceae
Description: partial 16S ribosomal RNA
Rfam family: Bacterial small subunit ribosomal RNA
Source: RNAcentral